AUACGGAGGAUCCGAGCGUUAUCCGGAUUUAUUGGGUUUAAAGGGUGCGUAGGCGGGAUAAUAAGUCAGUGGUGAAAGUUUGCAGCUUAACUGUAAAAUUGCCAUUGAAACUGAGGGUCUUGAGUGUAAAUAAGGUAGGCGGAAUGUGUUGUGUAGCGGUGAAAUGCUUAGAUAUAACACAGAACACCAAUUGCGAAGGCAGCUUACUGGGAUACAACUGACGCUGAGGCACGAAAGCGUGGGGAUC
RNAcentral lists this ribosomal RNA (247 nucleotides) under uncultured bacterium. Its description in RNAcentral is "partial 16S ribosomal RNA". It matches the Rfam family "Bacterial small subunit ribosomal RNA", at positions 523 to 769 of the family's 1533-position model. The record is from RNAcentral.